This is a long non-coding RNA of Gasterosteus aculeatus aculeatus (three-spined stickleback), 434 nucleotides long. Lineage: Eukaryota; Metazoa; Chordata; Actinopteri; Perciformes; Gasterosteidae. The record is from Ensembl.
AGGGCUCAUCAAGUGGGAGAAGACGUCGGCGUUGCACGUUUGUGAGCCCUUCCGAGCACGACCACUUUCGGGAGUCAUGAGGGGCCUCCCACAGGAAUCCGUCUUGAUGUAAAGACCGACGAAACGUCCGUCCAGCUCCAGUCCUUCGCUUUCCCACACUUCCAGCCCGGAGCGGCCGCUGGCAAAGCCAACACCUCUACGCGUCCCACCCUUGCUGCCAAAAAGAUGCCAACCUCUGCCGGGUGUGUGGUUGUUUUAGAAAGGGAAGCCCACCCGCUGCCCUCGGGGGGGGCGACACUGUCGUGUCAACACGGUCUCACGGAUCAGUGCCAGCUGAUCCCUGGUGCAGAACAGUGCGGUGAGGUGGUGGCAGCCAACGCUUUCCUCCGCCGACUGCACUGAAGAAACAACACCGGCGGCUGGGCCCACGCCAG